GGUUUCAAUUUCUAUUUUCCCCAAUUUCUAAACCCUACCCUUCAAUCUUGUCAAUUCAACGCCAGUCAAUCCUCCCAUCAGCAAUAUGCCCAGUACUGUGGCUUCCUCUGUUCGCCUUCGUUCCCAUAUCUAGUUCCCAAUCUGAGACUCUUUCUCAGACGUGGUGUCGCAGUUGCAGUCGUUCUCUUGGGUUCAGUUCGCAAGCUUAGCUGCUGCCACCAGUGGCCUCUUCGGGUGCCGUCGGAGGUGUGGAUGUUAGCGACGGAACCUAUCUGGUAGUGUAUGAUUGGGUUUAUAUGCAUCACUGAGGGCUAAUUUGGUCAUUUUAUCCAAACUCUCGGGACAAAGUCAGAAAUUGGACCCUUGUGUCGCGGACAACUCAGCGUAUGACGUCAUAAAUUUGGUUGAACAAGUUCAAGGUAAUCUCUCCUCACAGACACCAACUCAAGUGAGCACGUCAACACCAGCCAACACACCAAUUCAAGCAAAUGUGACUUCAAGAACACAAACUCAAGGUAUGUGUGGAGGUAGAGCUGGCAAAGGAGGUGCGCUAUGAGGUAGAGGUAAACAAAAUAGUGCACUGAAUCAACAAGAAUAUCAUGUACCAUCAGCAGCAGCUAAUAGGGAGGUAAAUCGAGAAGGCCAUGUGAGGCCAGUGCCAAGGCAAUAUACAGCUCUAAUAAGCACACAAGCAACUGAAAAUUGGCAAAUCGGCUAGUACAAGAACUACACACUCUUCAAUAGGUACACCAUCAGGGUCGUGGAGACCGUAGAGGUCAUGAAACUUCAUAAUCUAGUGAUGGGGUGACCAUUUUUGUGAUAUCCAAGUUGGGAUAAAAACAUUUAAUUAUAUAUCUUAUGUAGAGACUAUUUUGUGUAGGUUCAUUGAUCUUAUUCUCAGACAAGUGAGAUAAAACUAUGUGAUGUUUUUGUUUAAUUUGAGUAUGAUGAUGGAUUGAAUUGAAUG
This is an RNA transcript of Fragaria vesca subsp. vesca, 967 nucleotides long. RefSeq lists it as uncharacterized. Lineage: Eukaryota; Viridiplantae; Streptophyta; Magnoliopsida; Rosales; Rosaceae. The record is from RefSeq and is a predicted model, not a curated record. The transcript has 5 exons.